AAAAAAGCGAGGUUGGGAGAGGAGUUAACGGCUGUAAAAAAAAAAGAAAACAGGAAAUGAAAGGCUGAGGGAGAUCGAGUGAGAGGAAGACCGAGAGCAAAAGAGAGGGGACGGGCUGAGUGAAAAGCGAAGAGGGAGAUAGCUAGAGAAAAGAACGGAAAAGGAAGAGCUUUCUGGGCAAAGAAAUCAAACAGAGAGGAAGACUGUUUUUUUUAAGAGAGAAAGAAACAGAAAGCUGAGGGUUUUGACGGUGGAAAGAGUAAAAGAGAGAGCUUUAAGAGUCUGGGGGAGAGCAGCCGGAAGAGGAAGCCGCAACCAGGAGGGAGACCGAGAGAAACCCAAGCAGCGACUUCAUCAGAAUCUGCAAUCGAUUUCUUCAUCACCCAAGCUGAAGCUUCAAACCCAAAGGUGGUCAACAGGUAGCUUUCCACCCGUUCUCUUGUCUAUUUUCAGUUCAUAUGAAAUCUAGUUUGCAUAGCCAGAGAUUCUGGGUUCUUGCUCAUAUUUGGAUGAUGAAUUGUUGUGUAAAGUCGGGUGCUUUAUUUGAAUUUCUGGACAUGAAAACCCGAAAUUUAUGAAUCAAAAGCUGGUAGCUUUCGUGUUUUUUUUUUCUUUUUCUUUUUUCCCUGAGAAAUCAAAGGAGUAUGGCCCA
This 652-nucleotide long non-coding RNA is filed under the name Coffea arabica (coffee). Its description in RNAcentral is "long non-coding RNA (CARA_LNC005064)". Lineage: Eukaryota; Viridiplantae; Streptophyta; Magnoliopsida; Gentianales; Rubiaceae. The record is from RNAcentral.